UAGUGUCCUCGUAUGGUUUUUAAUAAAUUGUACUUGGUCUUCUUUGUAAUCUCAUGUUCAAAUGAUUUUCUUUCUACUUGCCUGUAGAAGUUUCCUGUAAUGAUUACUUCACUGAAAGUGGCAUCUUGAAGAUUACAGAACUCCUACUACAAAUCCUUAGAUCCAGAUUUAAUCAAUAGAAUUCCUCCAGUUAAUUUUCUAAUGAAACAUUGAUUGCACGUUUCUUAAUUAUUGUGUCAGCUGCUGUCAAAGACCUGCACUGAAGCUGUUCAACAAGUAGAAUGGAUUUUACACUUUAAAAAAAUUUUAAUCUGCAAGACUCUUUUAUAAUGAAUUUAUACCCAACAUAACCCAACAUAAAACACAAUUAUAGCAUUUUGCAAUUAGCACCAUAGAGAUUUAAUCAAUUAAUUUUCAAGCUAGUAACAGACAGUGUACUGUUAAGUAACUUGAGUGUAAAUAAAUGUGGGAUUUCUAGUAACUGUUCUGUAAGAGUCCGAAAGACCGUGUCGCUUCUGUUCGCCCACAACAGCAACAAGGCAGUAAAUCUCCAUAGCCUUUCAAGAGCACAGCCAGAGAUGUCAGAAGCAGUGGCAAUCCAAGCAACCUCAUAUGAUGCCUGCCCUGGAGAGACCAAAAUCCCAGAGG
Molecule: long non-coding RNA, 648 nt
Organism: Polyodon spathula (Mississippi paddlefish)
Lineage: Eukaryota; Metazoa; Chordata; Actinopteri; Acipenseriformes; Polyodontidae
Exons: 3
Source: RefSeq, a predicted model, not a curated record